Long non-coding RNA from Aethalodelphis obliquidens (Pacific white-sided dolphin), 2380 nucleotides. RefSeq lists it as uncharacterized. The record is from RefSeq and is a predicted model, not a curated record. The transcript is spliced from 2 exons. Lineage: Eukaryota; Metazoa; Chordata; Mammalia; Artiodactyla; Delphinidae.
CAGGCCUGGUAGCUGGGCCAGGUUGGAGGAGGUCUGUGGCCCAGCUGAGGCGCUGGGGGGUGACCACGUGUGUCCCCACCUCCCGUCCCUUCCUUGCAUCCUGGCCGCCUGAGGACUAGAUGAAGAUUUCAGGAUGGGGGAGGGGAAAGGGGAGGGGGGAGGGAGUACGGACUCGCAGCCCCGCCCGCGAGGAAGCGCUGGUUCUAAGACAGGCAUAAAGUACUUUCUCGAAGAACGCGCUGUGCGAGUGGAAAGGAGCAAACCGGCGCUCCCACGCGGCCGCCCGCGCCCCGGGGGCUGCUGGCAGCGAAAGGGGCUGACGCCGCGCCGAGGCCGAGCCCGGCUGGGGAAGGCGGUCCCGCACGGCUCUGCACGCUCUUCAUCAGUGUGGCUGCUUAUUACUGUUUACGUCGUGCUGGUUCCAAGGAGUCUCUGUAAACAUUAGCUUAAGCUUUGCUUGUGUGCCCCGCCACCCCCCCCUCCCUUAACACACACAAACAUGCCAAGAGGCUCCUUUAAAAACAGACUGAGAAAAUCCGGUCUGGAAGAGCACGCGGCUGACAGCUUAGGUGGAUUGUAUAAAAGCAGAUUCUGGUGAAACAGGUUGAACCCAGGCUAGCUCUGCAGGGGAAGGGUGAGUGGGGACGGUGUCCAGGUUGGAGGCGUUCGUGGGCAGGGGCUUCUCCUGGACCGCCGUGCUGGUUGCCCCUGACCCUUCCAACUUCUCUGCAUGAGUCUGAAACCUUCCUGGUUUCAGCUGCAAAUUAGGCCAGGCUGUUUCCAGGUCUUUGGAUGACGUGUAAGCCCAGCUGCUGGGCAGCCCCCAGCCCUGUCUUGGGGAACUUGCCCACCUUCUGGGCCCCAGCUGAGUUGGCCAAGGAUGAGGGGGCUGCUGACCCAAGAGGGAUCCCUACGGUAGCCUGCAAAAGGCCUGGCACAGAGAGCCUUGACAGUGAGGGGAGCCCUGGGCCCAUCAGCUUCCUGGUUUCUGGAAUCCAUCGGGCAGGAGCUAAAGGCAUCAUGGGCUGGUGGUCCCAGGCCCAUCAGAGUGCUGUGAGUGGGGCCAUGGGACGAGCAGAGAAGGAUGUGGGGUGCACGGUAAGGAAGCCAGCACUGCGGACAGCGAUAGGGAGACAGGGCAGAGGUGGCCUGACCUGUGGCAGACACCCCCCAAGUCCAGUUCCAGUGAAGCCAAGGCCCAGCCCAGCACAGGUCCUGGCCUUGGACUUUCAGAAGAUCCUACUGACAUAGAACCUCUAUGACAAUAAACUCCAACCGCUGACUUGAGGGGCCUGAGAGAGCCUCCACCCCCUGGGGAAAGAAAAUAAGUAAAACCCAUGUACCUAAAUCAGCCUCUUCCAAGUAGGUUGUUUAAAUGCAGAAUGGAACGGGGUCAGUCAAGAUCAGAGCCCCAGCACCUGGCCACUCCUGUGCGAGCGUAUUCACCGGCCAAGCGGAUCUCAGCUCCUGCAGCUCUUACCCUCACACACCUACCAGCACCCCCUGAGUGGUUUUUCUUAACUCUCAGGUGAAAUCCAAUUCUAUUCCAAGCCUUGAAAGAUUCAAGCGCCUACUGUGUGCAGGGCACUGGGCGGGGCCUAUGAGGGCUGCACGGGUGAUGGAGCUACGGUGCUAUCCUUCCAUCGGGAGAAGCGCAGGAAGGAGGCUGCAGGGGACGCAGGCAGCCAGGGGUUCCUGAAGGCUGUGUUCGCGAUCGUUAUCGCUGACAGUUCUCUAUCUCUGGAAGCAGACUGAAUAACAGCCCUGUGGCGCAGAGUGGAAAGGGGGACAGGGGAAGAGCAACAUUACAGUAGAAAAACUUGACAGAGGCUUCCUUGGCCAAACAACCAAGGUCCACGUCAACAGGGAUAAAUCAUGUUGAGAGUGUGGACCUUUGGAUGUAAUGAAAAUGGAAUUUACCUCUACGGCCUUCUUCCCCAAACCCAUCCUCCCUAUCUAAUCAUGAGGAAAACAUCAGGCAGAUUCUGAUAGGAGAGCAUCCUACAGAAUGCCUGAUGAAUCCCUCAAAACUCUCAAGGUCAUCAACAACAAGGAAAGCCUGAGAAACUGUCAGACCCAAGAGGAGCCUGAGGAGACGCGACAACUCAAUGCAAUGUGGGAUCCUGGAUGGGAUUUUUCAUUUUUUUUUAAGCUCACAGGAAACAACAUGACCAGGCCCACCUGUGAAUGACUGCAGGAAGGAAGAAAUGAACACAUCCCCUCUGAGGGCUGACCAGAACCAAGAGAUGUUUGACUUUCUUCCCUCCCCUUUUAGUAUAAAAGAAGCCUGAGUUCUAACUCAGGGGAGAUGGUUCUUUGGGACAUAAGUCCACCGUCUUCUUGGUUCCUAGCCUUCUGAAUAAAGUCACUAUUCCUUGCC